UACGUAGGGGGCGAGCGUUGUCCGGAGUUACUGGGCGUAAAGCGCACGCAGGCGGUCUGCUAAGUUUGGAGUGACAGUUGGUGGCUUAACUGCCAAAGUGCUUCGAAAACUGACAGACUUGAGGGCUUCAGAGGGACACGGAAUUCCGGGUGGAGUGGUGAAAUGCGUAGAGAUCCGGAGGAACACCAAAGGCGAAGGCAGUGUCCUGGGGAGUACCUGACGCUCAGGUGCGAAAGCCAGGGGAGCGAAUGGG
Molecule: ribosomal RNA, 253 nt
Filed under: uncultured bacterium
Lineage: Bacteria
Description: partial 16S ribosomal RNA
Rfam family: Bacterial small subunit ribosomal RNA
Source: RNAcentral